GACGAACGCUGGCGGCGUGCUUAACACAUGCAAGUCGAACGGAAAGGCCCUGCUUUUGUGGGGUGCUCGAGUGGCGAACGGGUGAGUAACACGUGAGUAACCUGCCCUUGACUUUGGGAUAACUUCAGGAAACUGGGGCUAAUACCGGAUAGGAGCUCCUGCUGCAUGGUGGGGGUUGGAAAGUUUCGGCGGUUGGGGAUGGACCCGCGGCUUAUCAGCUUGUUGGUGGGGUAGUGGCUUACCAAGGCUUUGACGGGUAGCCGGCCUGAGAGGGUGACCGGCCACAUUGGGACUGAGAUACGGCCCAGACUCCUACGGGAGGCAGCAGUGGGGAAUAUUGCACAAUGGGCGGAAGCCUGAUGCAGCAACGCCGCGUGCGGGAUGACGGCCUUCGGGUUGUAAGCCGCUUUCGCCUGUGACGAAGCGUGAGUGACGGUAAUGGGUAAAGAAGCACCGGCUAACUACGUG
This 468-nucleotide ribosomal RNA is filed under the name uncultured bacterium. RNAcentral's name for it is "partial 16S ribosomal RNA". It matches the Rfam family "Bacterial small subunit ribosomal RNA", at positions 28 to 507 of the family's 1533-position model. The record is from RNAcentral.